RNAcentral lists this unclassified non-coding RNA (346 nucleotides) under soil metagenome. RNAcentral describes it as "partial contains 5.8S ribosomal RNA, internal transcribed spacer 2, and large subunit ribosomal RNA". The stretch from base 1 to 119 matches the Rfam family "5.8S ribosomal RNA", at positions 35 to 154 of the family's 154-position model. The record is from RNAcentral.
GAUGAAGAACGUAGCGAAAUGCGAUACGUAAUGUGAAUUGCAAAUUCAGUGAAUCAUCGAGUCUUUGAACGCACAUUGCGCCCCCUGGUAUUCCGGGGGGCAUGCCUGUCCGAGCGUCAUUGCUGCCCUCAAGCACGGCUUGUGUGUUGGGCCCCGUCCUCCGAUCCCGGGGGACGGGCCCGAAAGGCAGCGGCGGCACCGCGUCCGGUCCUCGAGCGUAUGGGGCUUUGUCACCCGCUCUGUAGGCCCGGCCGGCGCUUGCCGAUCAACCCAAAUCUUUUAUCCAGGUUGACCUCGGAUCAGGUAGGGAUACCCGCUGAACUUAAGCAUAUCAAUAAGCGGAGGA